RNAcentral lists this ribosomal RNA (253 nucleotides) under uncultured bacterium. RNAcentral describes it as "partial 16S ribosomal RNA". It matches the Rfam family "Bacterial small subunit ribosomal RNA", at positions 524 to 776 of the family's 1533-position model. The record is from RNAcentral.
UACGUAGGGGGCAAGCGUUGUUCGGAAUUACUGGGCGUAAAGGGCGCGUAGGCGGCACGGCAAGUCGGGCGUGAAAGGCCUGGGCUCAACCCAGGAACGGCUUUCGAGACUGCCGAGCUAGAGUGCGGAAGGGGCAACUGGAAUUCCCAGUGUAGCGGUGAAAUGCGUAGAUAUUGGGAAGAACACCGGAGGCGAAGGCGGGUUGCUGGGCCGACACUGACGCUGAGGCGCGAAAGCCAGGGGAGCAAACGGG